UACGUAGGUGGCGAGCGUUGUCCGGAAUUAUUGGGCGUAAAGCGCGCGUAGGUGGGAUAGUAAGUCUGCUUUAAAAGUGCGGGGCUCAACCCCGUGAGGGGGUAGAAACUGCUAUUCUUGAGUGCAGGAGAGGAAAGCGGAAUUCCCAGUGUAGCGGUGAAAUGCGUAGAUAUUGGGAGGAACACCAGUGGCGAAGGCGGCUUUCUGGACUGUGUCUGACACUGAGGCGCGAAAGCCAGGGGAGC
Molecule: ribosomal RNA, 245 nt
Filed under: uncultured Veillonellaceae bacterium
Lineage: Bacteria; Bacillati; Bacillota; Negativicutes; Veillonellales; Veillonellaceae
Description: partial 16S ribosomal RNA
Rfam family: Bacterial small subunit ribosomal RNA
Source: RNAcentral